This 729-nucleotide ribosomal RNA is filed under the name uncultured bacterium. RNAcentral's name for it is "bacterial SSU rRNA". It matches the Rfam family "Bacterial small subunit ribosomal RNA", at positions 91 to 806 of the family's 1533-position model. The record is from RNAcentral.
GCGAGCGGCGGACGGGUGAGUAACACGUGGGUAACCUGCCCAAGAGACUGGGAUAACACCUGGAAACAGAUGCUAAUACCGGAUAACAACACUAGACGCAUGUCUAGAGUUUGAAAGAUGGUUCUGCUAUCACUCUUGGAUGGACCUGCGGUGCAUUAGCUAGUUGGUAAGGUAACGGCUUACCAAGGCAAUGAUGCAUAGCCGAGUUGAGAGACUGAUCGGCCACAUUGGGACUGAGACACGGCCCAAACUCCUACGGGAGGCAGCAGUAGGGAAUCUUCCACAAUGGACGAAAGUCUGAUGGAGCAACGCCGCGUGAGUGAAGAAGGGUUUCGGCUCGUAAAGCUCUGUUGGUAGUGAAGAAAGAUAGAGGUAGUAACUGGCCUUUAUUUGACGGUAAUUACUUAGAAAGUCACGGCUAACUACGUGCCAGCAGCCGCGGUAAUACGUAGGUGGCAAGCGUUGUCCGGAUUUAUUGGGCGUAAAGCGAGUGCAGGCGGUUCAAUAAGUCUGAUGUGAAAGCCUUCGGCUCAACCGGAGAAUUGCAUCAGAAACUGUUGAACUUGAGUGCAGAAGAGGAGAGUGGAACUCCAUGUGUAGCGGUGGAAUGCGUAGAUAUAUGGAAGAACACCAGUGGCGAAGGCGGCUCUCUGGUCUGCAACUGACGCUGAGGCUCGAAAGCAUGGGUAGCGAAACAGGAUUAGAUACCCUGGUAGUCCAUGCCGUAAA